RNAcentral lists this ribosomal RNA (257 nucleotides) under uncultured bacterium. RNAcentral describes it as "partial 16S ribosomal RNA". It matches the Rfam family "Bacterial small subunit ribosomal RNA", at positions 524 to 776 of the family's 1533-position model. The record is from RNAcentral.
UACGUAGGGUGCGAGCGUUUAAUCGGAAUCACUGGGCGUAAAGGGCGCGUAGGUGGUGGCUUAAGCGUGCGGUGAAAGCUCGGGGCUCAACCCCGAGUCGGCCGUGCGAACUGGGCUCACUGGAGCAUAGUAGAGGCAGGUGGAAUUCCGGGUGUAGCGGUGGAAUGCGUAGAGAUCCGGAAGAACACCGGUGGCGAAGGCGGCCUGCUGGGCUAUGGGCUGACACUGAGGCGCGACAGCGUGGGGGAGCAAACAGG